AUUGAACGCUGGCGGCAGGCCUAACACAUGCAAGUCGAGCGGAUGAAGGGAGCUUGCUCCUGGAUUCAGCGGCGGACGGGUGAGUAAUGCCUAGGAAUCUGCCUGGUAGUGGGGGAUAACGUCCGGAAACGGGCGCUAAUACCGCAUACGUCCUGAGGGAGAAAGUGGGGGAUCUUCGGACCUCACGCUAUCAGAUGAGCCUAGGUCGGAUUAGCUAGUUGGUGGGGUAAAGGCCUACCAAGGCGACGAUCCGUAACUGGUCUGAGAGGAUGAUCAGUCACACUGAAACUGAGACACGGUCCAGACUCCUACGGGAGGCAGCAGUGGGGAAUAUUGGACAAUGGGCGAAAGCCUGAUCCAGCCAUGCCGCGUGGGUGAAGAAGGUCUUCGGAUUGUAAAGCACUUUAAGUUGGGAGGAAGGGCAGUAAGUUAAUACCUUGCUGUUUUGACGUUACCAACAGAAUAAGCACCGGCUAACUUCGU
RNAcentral lists this ribosomal RNA (483 nucleotides) under uncultured bacterium. RNAcentral describes it as "partial 16S ribosomal RNA". It matches the Rfam family "Bacterial small subunit ribosomal RNA", at positions 30 to 506 of the family's 1533-position model. The record is from RNAcentral.